This 680-nucleotide ribosomal RNA is filed under the name uncultured Neptunomonas sp. RNAcentral describes it as "bacterial SSU rRNA". It matches the Rfam family "Bacterial small subunit ribosomal RNA", at positions 31 to 702 of the family's 1533-position model. The record is from RNAcentral. Lineage: Bacteria; Pseudomonadati; Pseudomonadota; Gammaproteobacteria; Oceanospirillales; Oceanospirillaceae.
GUAGCCUGGCGGCAGGCUAACACAUGCAGUCGAGCGGUACAGAGAGAAGCUGCUUCUCUGCUGACGAGCGGCGGACGGGUGAGUAACGCGUAGGAAUCUACCUAUUAGUGGGGGAUAAGCCAGAGAAAUUUGGUCUAAUACCGCAUACGCCCUACGGGGGAAAGGAGGGGAUCUUCGGACCUUUCGCUAUUAGAUGAGCCUGCGUAAGAUUAGCUAGUUGGUGAGGUAAUGGCUCACCAAGGCGACGAUCUUUAGCUGGUCUGAGAGGAUGAUCAGCCACACUGGGACUGAGACACGGCCCAGACUCCUACGGGAGGCAGCAGUGGGGAAUAUUGGACAAUGGGGGGAACCCUGAUCCAGCCAUGCCGCGUGUGUGAAGAAGGCCUUCGGGUUGUAAAGCACUUUCAGAUGUGAGGAAAGGUAAGUAGUUAAUACCUGCUUACUGUGACGUUAGCAUCAGAAGAAGGACCGGCUAACUCCGUGCCAGCAGCCGCGGUAAUACGGAGGGUCCGAGCGUUAAUCGGAAUUACUGGGCGUAAAGCGCGCGUAGGUGGUUUUGUCAGUCAGAUGUGAAAGCCCAGGUCUCAAACUUGGAACUGGACCUGGAUACUGGAAGAAUAGAGUACAUUAGAGGGGAGUGGAAUUUCCGGUGUUAGCGGGAAAUGCGUUAAAGAUCGGAA